UACGGGGGGGGCAAGCGUUGUUCGGAAUUACUGGGCGUAAAGCGUGCGUAGGUGGUUCGUUAAGUCUGAUGUGAAAGCCCUGGGCUCAACCUGGGAAUGGCAUUGGAUACUGGCGACCUAGAGUGCGGUAGAGGGGUGUGGAAUUCCCGGUGUAGCAGUGAAAUGCGUAGAUAUCGGGAGGAACAUCUGUGGCGAAGGCGACACCCUGGACCAGCACUGACACUGAGGCACGAAAGCGUGGGGAGCAAACAGG
RNAcentral lists this ribosomal RNA (253 nucleotides) under uncultured bacterium. Its description in RNAcentral is "partial 16S ribosomal RNA". It matches the Rfam family "Bacterial small subunit ribosomal RNA", at positions 524 to 776 of the family's 1533-position model. The record is from RNAcentral.